AUAAGGAAUCGAGCCUGCCCAGUGAGAUAUUAAAUGGCCGCAGUAUUUUGACUGUGCGAAGGUAGCAUAAUCAUUUGCCUUAUAAUUGAAGGCUGGAAUGAAUGGUGUGACAAGAGUGAGACUGUCUCUUAUGUAGUUUAGUAGAAUUUUAUUUUAAAGUGAAGAUGCUUUAGUUUAAUUGUUAGACAAGAAGACCCUAUCGAGCUUUAAUUUAGUAAUUAAGAUUUAAUUAGUUUAUGUGUUUUUGUUGGGGCGACUGAGGAACAAUUGAAGCUUCCUUGUUUUUUGAAAAUUUAUUUAUGGUUGAUCCAUUGUUUGUGAUUAGUAGAAUUAGUUACCGUAGGGAUAACAGCAUAAUUUUGUUUGAGAGUUCUUAUUGAAAAUAAAGUUUGUGACCUCGAUGUUGGAUUAAAAUUUCCUAAAGGUGUAGCCGUUUUUAAGGGUAGGUCUGUUCGACCUUUAAAAUUUUA
RNAcentral lists this ribosomal RNA (470 nucleotides) under Marginella lucani. Its description in RNAcentral is "partial 16S ribosomal RNA". It matches the Rfam family "Bacterial large subunit ribosomal RNA", at positions 1845 to 2598 of the family's 2925-position model. Lineage: Eukaryota; Metazoa; Mollusca; Gastropoda; Neogastropoda; Marginellidae. The record is from RNAcentral.